This 907-nucleotide ribosomal RNA is filed under the name Penicillium citreonigrum. Its description in RNAcentral is "LSU rRNA". It matches the Rfam family "Eukaryotic large subunit ribosomal RNA", at positions 38 to 964 of the family's 3401-position model. Lineage: Eukaryota; Fungi; Ascomycota; Eurotiomycetes; Eurotiales; Aspergillaceae. The record is from RNAcentral.
GCAUAUCAAUAAGCGGAGGAAAAGAAACCAACAGGGAUUGCCCCAGUAACGGCGAGUGAAGCGGCAAGAGCUCAAAUUUGAAAGCUGGCUCCUUCGGGGUCCGCAUUGUAAUUUGCAGAGGAUGCUUCGGGAGCGGCCCCCAUCUAAGUGCCCUGGAACGGGCUGUCAUAGAGGGUGAGAAUCCCGUAUGGGAUGGGGUGUCCGCGCCCGUGUGAAGCUCCUUCGACGAGUCGAGUUGUUUGGGAAUGCAGCUCUAAAUGGGUGGUAAAUUUCAUCUAAAGCUAAAUAUUGGCCGGAGACCGAUAGCGCACAAGUAGAGUGAUCGAAAGAUGAAAAGCACUUUGAAAAGAGAGUUAAAAAGCACGUGAAAUUGUUGAAAGGGAAGCGUUUGCGACCAGACUCGCCUACGGGGUUCAGCCUACCUUCGGGUAGGUGUACUUCCCCGUGGGCGGGCCAGCGUCGGUUUGGGCGGCCGGUCAAAGGCCCUCGGAAUGUAACGCCUCUCGGGGCGUCUUAUAGCCGAGGGUGCCAUGCGGCCUGCCCGGACCGAGGAACGCGCUUCGGCUCGGACGCUGGCAUAAUGGUCGUAAACGACCCGUCUUGAAACACGGACCAAGGAGUCUAACAUCUAUGCGAGUGUUCGGGUGUCAAACCCGUGCGCGCAGUGAAAGCGAACGGAGGUGGGAACCCUUUGGGUGCACCAUCGACCGAUCCUGAUGUCUUCGGAUGGAUUUGAGUAAGAGCAUAGCUGUUGGGACCCGAAAGAUGGUGAACUAUGCCUGAAUAGGGCGAAGCCAGAGGAAACUCUGGUGGAGGCUCGCAGCGGUUCUGACGUGCAAAUCGAUCGUCAAAUUUGGGUAUAGGGGCGAAAGACUAAUCGAACCAUCUAGUAGCUGGUUCCUGCCGA